This 240-nucleotide ribosomal RNA is filed under the name uncultured bacterium. Its description in RNAcentral is "partial 16S ribosomal RNA". It matches the Rfam family "Bacterial small subunit ribosomal RNA", at positions 537 to 776 of the family's 1533-position model. The record is from RNAcentral.
AGCGUUGUCCGGAUUUAUUGGGCGUAAAGAGCGUGUAGGCGGCUUUACAGGUCCGUUGUGAAAACUCGAGGCUCAACCUCGAGACGCCGGUGGAAACCGUAAAGCUAGAGUCCGGAAGAGGAGAGUGGAAUUCCUGGUGUAGCGGUGAAAUGCGCAGAUAUCAGGAGGAACACCCGUGGCGAAAGCGGCUCUCUGGGACGGUACUGACGCUGAGACGCGAAAGCGUGGGGAGCAAACAGG